RNAcentral lists this ribosomal RNA (489 nucleotides) under uncultured bacterium. Its description in RNAcentral is "bacterial SSU rRNA". It matches the Rfam family "Bacterial small subunit ribosomal RNA", at positions 313 to 801 of the family's 1533-position model. The record is from RNAcentral.
UUGGUACUGAGACACGGACCAAACUCCCACGGGAGGCAGCAGUGAGGAAUAUUGGUCAAUGGACGAGAGUCUGAACCAGCCAAGUCGCGUGAAGGAAGACGGAUCUAUGGUUUGUAAACUUCUUUAGUGCGGGAACAAAGUGGCGUCGUGACGCCUGAUGAGUGUACCGCAAGAAUAAGCAUCGGCUAACUCCGUGCCAGCAGCCGCGGUAAUACGGAGGAUGCGAGCGUUAUCCGGAUUUAUUGGGUUUAAAGGGAGCGCAGGCUGCGAGGCAAGUCAGCGGUCAAAUGUCGGGGCUCAACCCCGGCCUGCCGUUGAAACUGUCCUGCUAGAGUUCGAGUGAGGUAUGCGGAAUGCGUUGUGUAGCGGUGAAAUGCAUAGAUAUGACGCAGAACUCCGAUUGCGAAGGCAGCAUACCAACUCGCGACUGACGCUGAGGCUCGAAAGCGUGGGUAUCGAACAGGAUUAGAUACCCUGGUAGUCCACGCA